This 532-nucleotide ribosomal RNA is filed under the name uncultured Graphium. RNAcentral's name for it is "SSU rRNA". It matches the Rfam family "Eukaryotic small subunit ribosomal RNA", at positions 219 to 755 of the family's 1831-position model. Lineage: Eukaryota; Fungi; Ascomycota; Sordariomycetes; Microascales; Graphiaceae. The record is from RNAcentral.
AAAACCAAUGCCCUCCGGGGCUACUGGGUGAUUCAUAGUAACUUUUCGAAUCGCACGGCCUUGUGCCGGCGAUGGUUCAUUCAAAUUUCUUCCCUAUCAACUUUCGAUGCGAAGGUCUUGUCUUCGCAUGGUUACAACGGGUAACGGAGGGUUAGGGCUCGACCCCGGAGAAGGAGCCUGAGAAACGGCUGCUACAUCUAAGGAAGGCAGCAGGCGCGCAAAUUACCCAAUCCCGACUCGGGGAGGUAGUGACAAUAAAUACUGAUACAGGGCUCUUUAGGGUCUUGUAAUUGGAAUGAGUACAAUUUAAAUCCCUUAACGAGGAACAAUUGGAGGGCAAGUCUGGUGCCAGCAGCCGCGGUAAUUCCAGCUCCAAUAGCGUAUAUUAAGUUGUUGUGGUUAAAAAGCUCGUAGUUGAACCUUGGGCCUGGCUGGCCGGUCCCCCUCACCGGGUGCACUGGUCCGGCCGGGCCUUUCCCUCUGUGGAACCGCAUGCCCUUCACUGGACGUGCCGGGGAACCAGGACUUUUAC